UGACACAUAAUUUAUAAAGAAUAAUUAUCUUGCAAAUAAUAAGAAUGUGUCUU
This 53-nucleotide transfer RNA is filed under the name Bisetocreagris titanium. Its description in RNAcentral is "tRNA-Ala". Lineage: Eukaryota; Metazoa; Arthropoda; Arachnida; Pseudoscorpiones; Neobisiidae. The record is from RNAcentral.